AAUCAACGCUGGCGGCGUGCCUAACACAUGCAAGUCGAACGAGAAAGUGGAGCAAUCCAUGAGUACAGUGGCGCACGGGUGAGUAACACGUGACUACCUACCCUCGAGUGGGGAAUAACCUCGGGAAACCGGGGCUAACACCGCAUAAUAUCUACGGAUCAAAUGCGAAAGCAGCUUGAGGAGGGGGUCGCGGCCGAUUAGCUAGUUGGUGAGGUAAUGGCCCACCAAGGCAAUGAUCGGUAGCCGGCCUGAGAGGGCGCACGGCCACACUGGAACUGAAACACGGUCCAGACUCCUACGGGAGGCAGCAGUGAGGAAUAUUCCACAAUGGGCGAAAGCCUGAUGGAGCGACGCC
RNAcentral lists this ribosomal RNA (355 nucleotides) under uncultured bacterium. RNAcentral describes it as "bacterial SSU rRNA". It matches the Rfam family "Bacterial small subunit ribosomal RNA", at positions 32 to 398 of the family's 1533-position model. The record is from RNAcentral.